This 352-nucleotide RNase P RNA is filed under the name Rhodobiaceae bacterium. Its description in RNAcentral is "RNase P RNA component class A". It matches the Rfam family "Bacterial RNase P class A". From Rfam's summary of the family: Ribonuclease P (RNase P) is a ubiquitous endoribonuclease, found in archaea, bacteria and eukarya as well as chloroplasts and mitochondria. Its best characterised activity is the generation of mature 5'-ends of tRNAs by cleaving the 5'-leader elements of precursor-tRNAs. Cellular RNase Ps are ribonucleoproteins. Lineage: Bacteria; Pseudomonadati; Pseudomonadota; Alphaproteobacteria; Hyphomicrobiales; Rhodobiaceae. The record is from RNAcentral.
UCAGAUGAUUGGAUGAUCGCUUUUUUUUAAAGAGGAAAGUCCGGGCUCCAUGAGAGACAGUGCCGGGUAAUACCCGGCGAGGGUGACCUUAGGGAAAGUGCCACAGAAAAUAUACCGCCUUAGGGCAAGGGUGAAAAGGUGCGGUAAGAGCGCACCGCUUAUAUGGUAACAUAUUUGGCAGGGUAAACCCCACUGGGAGCAAGACCAAAUAGGAAUAACGUUGGCUUAGCCAGAGAAUUUCUCUUUCUAGUUAUUCGGGUAGGUUGCUAGAAGUAUACGGUAACGUAUAUUCAAGAUGAAUGAUCAUCGCUUUUUUAAAGUACAGAACCCGGCUUACAAAUCAUCUGACAUU